This 427-nucleotide long non-coding RNA is filed under the name Mus spicilegus (steppe mouse). Its description in RNAcentral is "lncRNA (ENSMSIG00000029709.1)". Lineage: Eukaryota; Metazoa; Chordata; Mammalia; Rodentia; Muridae. The record is from RNAcentral.
AAAGAAUCAGUUUUUGUGGCGCAUCAUAAUACCCUGUGACACCUCUCUCUCCUCUCCUCUCCUCCCUCCUUCUUCUUUCUCCUUCUUUCUCCUUAUUUCUUCUUCUUCCUUCUUCUUUUUCUUUCUUCUUCCUUCUUUUUCUUUCUCUUUUUCUCCUUUUUCUUCUCCUUUUCUUCUUCUCCUUUUCUUCUUCAUCUCCUUUUCUUCUUCAUCUUCGUCUUUGUCUUCUUCUUCCUCCUCCUUCUCCUUCUCUCUCUCUCUCUCUCUCUCUCUUUCUCUCUCUCUCAGCACGGAGCAUGUUUCUCUAACAAUUAAAAGACUAUGGCAGACCAGCAAAAGUAGGAACUAUUCCCACCUUCCCAGAGGCAGAGCCAUUCCCUCCAGGAGUAAAGUAACUUCGUUGGCCAUCUUCUCUCCCAACCAGUGA